RNAcentral lists this long non-coding RNA (205 nucleotides) under Elaeis guineensis (African oil palm). Its description in RNAcentral is "long non-coding RNA (EGUI_LNC045935)". The record is from RNAcentral. Lineage: Eukaryota; Viridiplantae; Streptophyta; Magnoliopsida; Arecales; Arecaceae.
GCUGACGAUUGGCUUUGGGAUACUAUUCCCAACAUAAUCAAUAACCAUAGUAUUUAGAAAUAUCAAUUUUUUAAAUCACUUGCUAUUCAAAAUAUAAUUUCAUAAAUCAUGCAUCAUUCAAAAAAUAAUUAUUUACUUUAAAAUAAAUUAUGAAAUAUCUUGAGAAGAUGGUUUAUCAUUUACAUUUUACAGAAUACUGAAUGAA